Molecule: transfer RNA, 72 nt
Filed under: Ovis aries (sheep)
Lineage: Eukaryota; Metazoa; Chordata; Mammalia; Artiodactyla; Bovidae
Rfam family: tRNA
About the family: Transfer RNA (tRNA) molecules are approximately 80 nucleotides in length.
Source: Rfam by way of RNAcentral
UCCCGAGUUGCUCAAAUGGUAAAGCUUAUGCUUGAACUGCAGGAGACCCAGGUUCAAUCCCUGGAUUGGGAA